CUGGCAGUAAACGAUGUAUGCUGGGUGUGGGCGUAGCGAUACGUCCGUGCCGAAGUUAACGCGAUAAGCAUACCGCCUGGGGAGUACGGUCGCAAGAUUGAAACUCAAAGGAAUUGACGG
This 120-nucleotide ribosomal RNA is filed under the name uncultured bacterium. RNAcentral's name for it is "partial 16S ribosomal RNA". It matches the Rfam family "Bacterial small subunit ribosomal RNA", at positions 796 to 916 of the family's 1533-position model. The record is from RNAcentral.